This 1097-nucleotide ribosomal RNA is filed under the name fungal sp. NM877. Its description in RNAcentral is "eukaryotic LSU rRNA". The stretch from base 492 to 1097 matches the Rfam family "Eukaryotic large subunit ribosomal RNA", at positions 1 to 628 of the family's 3401-position model. Lineage: Eukaryota; Fungi. The record is from RNAcentral.
GUAGGUGAACCUGCGGAGGGAUCAUUACAAGUGACCCCGGUCUUACCACCGGGAUGUUCAUAACCCUUUGUUGUCCGACUCUGUUGCCUCCGGGGCGACCCUGCCUUCGGGCGGGGGCUCCGGGUGGACACUUCAAACUCUUGCGUAACUUUGCAGUCUGAGUAAACUUAAUUAAUAAAUUAAAACUUUUAACAACGGAUCUCUUGGUUCUGGCAUCGAUGAAGAACGCAGCGAAAUGCGAUAAGUAAUGUGAAUUGCAGAAUUCAGUGAAUCAUCGAAUCUUUGAACGCACAUUGCGCCCCCUGGUAUUCCGGGGGGCAUGCCUGUUCGAGCGUCAUUUCACCACUCAAGCCUCGCUUGGUAUUGGGCAACGCGGUCCGCCGCGUGCCUCAAAUCGACCGGCUGGGUCUUCUGUCCCCUAAGCGUUGUGGAAACUAUUCGCUAAAGGGUGUUCGGGAGGCUACGCCGUAAAACAACCCCAUUUCUAAGGUUGACCUCGGAUCAGGUAGGGAUACCCGCUGAACUUAAGCAUAUCAAUAAGCGGAGGAAAAGAAACCAACAGGGAUUGCUCUAGUAACGGCGAGUGAAGCAGCAAUAGCUCAAAUUUGAAAUCUGGCGUCUUCGACGUCCGAGUUGUAAUUUGUAGAGGAUGCUUCUGAGUAACCACCGACCUAAGUUCCUUGGAACAGGACGUCAUAGAGGGUGAGAAUCCCGUAUGCGGUCGGAAAGGUGCUCUAUACGUAGCUCCUUCGACGAGUCGAGUUGUUUGGGAAUGCAGCUCUAAAUGGGAGGUAAAUUUCUUCUAAAGCUAAAUAUUGGCCAGAGACCGAUAGCGCACAAGUAGAGUGAUCGAAAGAUGAAAAGCACUUUGGAAAGAGAGUUAAAAAGCACGUGAAAUUGUUAAAAGGGAAGGGAUUGCAACCAGACUUGCUCGCGGUGUUCCGCCGGUCUUCUGACCGGUCUACUCGCCGCGUUGCAGGCCAGCAUCGUCUGGUGCCGCUGGAUAAGACUUGAGGAAUGUAGCUCCCUCGGGAGUGUUAUAGCCUCUUGUGAUGCAGCGAGCGCCGGGCGAGGUCCGCGCUUCGGCUAGGAUGCUG